Molecule: long non-coding RNA, 2074 nt
Organism: Leopardus geoffroyi (Geoffroy's cat)
Lineage: Eukaryota; Metazoa; Chordata; Mammalia; Carnivora; Felidae
Exons: 2
Source: RefSeq, a predicted model, not a curated record
UGGAAUCACUUUAAAAUGUUACUAAAAACAUCAUUUCAACAAACAACGAAAAUAGCAAUAAAAACUACCAUUUAGCUAGCCUGUACUAUUUACCAUGAACUUUGCACACUGAAUCUCAAACUCCCCUGGCCUUCAGAUAUUGUCCAUUUCCAUUAUGCAGUUAAAUAAGGGUCAAGUCAUAACUUGCUUGUGGUCAUACAGAAAACCAAUGGAACCAGAACACGUACCCAAGCUUACCUGAAGUCUAAGCUAUGCUCUUUCCCCUACAUUAUGACAUCGUGAUAAAGAGACAGAAUCACAUUUUCUCUACCAGGCACAUGCCCAACGGCAAUUACCACAUGAGUAAUUUGGGUAUACGGUAGGAAAAAGCACUCACCCAAUGUCGUGGCACCUGUAUUGCAUGAGGUUUUCACUCAUUCUUUAAACAGAGAUUCCCUGAAAGUCUACAAUCCGCAAAGUAAAGAGAUGGAUGUUGACAUUUUUUCAGCAGGUUCACAAUGUGGUGAAGAAUUCCAUCACUAACAGCUUGAAGGACCUCACCUUCCAGGCUGGAAGUGAUACACUUCUCCCUCAUGAACACAAACAGCCCAGCCGUCUAAAUCUCCCGCUGGUCUUCCUCUUCAGAUUCGUGAGACUUUAAAUGUGAAGAUAUUUAUUUCUGUUCUGCAGGGCCAGGUAAAUACUAUCUCCUCUCUACAUAUAUCUCCUUCCCUCUGCCACCCUGCCUCAACAAAUCGUGUAAAAAGCAAUGCUUGUAUGUGAGAAGCAGAAAAGGCAUAUGGGCAUUUCAAUCACAAAGUUUCAGUUUUAUGUGUCAACCUUAUCGUUUUCUAUUUAAUAAACCAUUCAGCCUAUGGUACCAUCGUGCACAGCCUUAAAGACAUUCUACUUAGAUUUGGUGAUAAAUCCAGGUACCUACCCCACAUCUGUCCCCACAUUUAACUGACACUCACAGAAACAAUUUACAAAUAUUCCAAUGCAUCCAAAUAUGAAUGUGCCACUAAUACUUGACAAGUGUCCACUAAUUCUGAUAACAGCAUCAUUAUCAUUUCUAAUCUGCCACCAGCAAUCAGUGCCAUUCUUUGAUGACACAAAUAAGAACAGAGGAUUAGAAAUAAAGGCUUGUUCCUCAGAACACAGUAUGAAAACUCAAACAUCAAGUUGACAUUUUGCCCAAACACGUACCAGAUUUGCCAAAGAUUUACCAGAAAAGUCUUUGUUGCAUUCAAAAUUGGAUUUACUUGACCAAAAGAAAAAAAAAAAAAAUGAUUUAGACACCAAGGUUUGUAAAACAAAGCAGAAGAAGCAAAACACCACCAUUAUCUCUCUUCUUUUACAUUUUAUAUAACAUUGGAUGAUUUGAGAUACUACUUCAUAAUGAAAAAUAUAAAAGUAAAUGAUGACAAUGUGACAGAACUAAGAGGUGAAAAGAGGAGGAAGGACUUGGGUUCUGUUGCCAUUAUCUGCUUCUAAAGGUAUCGGAUACAAGGAAUCCUUUUCAUGGCCUAUAACAAAAUGGGAACUUUCUAAACACGGUUGUACCCGACCUAUAUUCAGAUCCCAUGAACCAAAACGUAAAACCAAGGCAAUACGCAGAGGAGCAAUCCUAUACAGAACCUCCCUUGUGUCUAUGAGGGAAGACUCAGAGCCCCACUGAGUUAUUUAUAAUAUCUAAUUUUAGAAUGCCAGUGACAGGAGAAUGUUUUAAUUAUCUUCUUUUUGUUGUUGUUGCUUAAUUCCUCAUCCCUAACACAGUUUCUGAAUGCAGAAGGAAGAGAAGGAGCAAACGAGAGCAGGCAGCAGGCAGAAGACAGCUUAGUCAUCUUGCCCUGUAUCCCAAAGGAGCUUUGAACCAGCAAGGUGCAAGCAGGAACAGAAAAAUGCUUCACGGACAGUAGUAAUCAAGCAAAAACUGAAAGAUUGGCAUAAAAAAAACAAAUACUUUUUUUUUUUAAGUUACAGGCACAAUUUUCAGGGUGCCAGGAAGCACCUGAACAUGCCUUGCUACCUUUAAAAGCAUUUUUCUAUUAUAGCCCAAGUGAAAACAACAGCUAAAAUAAAACAUUUAUAAUGA